GAUGAACGCUGGCGGCGUGCCUAAUACAUGCAAGUCGAGCGAACGGACGAGAAGCUUGCUUCUCUGAUGUUAGCGGCGGACGGGUGAGUAACACGUGGAUAACCUACCUAUAAGACUGGGAUAACUUCGGGAAACCGGAGCUAAUACCGGAUGAUAUUUUGAACCGCAUGGUUCAAAAGUGAAAGACGGUCUUGCUGUCACUUAUAGAUGGAUCCGCGCUGCAUUAGCUAGUUGGUAAGGUAACGGCCUACCAAGGCAACGAUGCCUAGCCGACCUGAGAGGGUGAUCGGCCACACUGGAACUGAGACACGGUCCAGACUCCUACGGGAGGCAGCAGUAGGGAAUCUGCCGCAAUGGGCGAAAGCCUGACGGAGCAACGCCGCGUGAGUGAUGAAGGUCUUCGGAUCGUAAAACUCUGUUAUUAGGGAAGAACAGAUGUGUAAGUAACUGUGCACAUCUUGACGGUACCUAAUCAGAAAGCCACGGCUAACUACGUG
This 497-nucleotide ribosomal RNA is filed under the name uncultured bacterium. RNAcentral describes it as "partial 16S ribosomal RNA". It matches the Rfam family "Bacterial small subunit ribosomal RNA", at positions 28 to 507 of the family's 1533-position model. The record is from RNAcentral.